UAUAGGUGGGUGUGUGUCACUUCUUGUAUAUCCACCUGACACGCAGCCUUGACACAAUCAGUACUCGCUCUUUACCGACAGCAAAAAAUGGGUGAUAUGCUCGCGAAGCCGGAGACUCAGAAAUUCUCGACUGUGUUCGAGACGUCACACCUGCGAGUGGGGUGCUGCAGUAUGCAGGGGUGGAGAAAGUCUAUGGAAGACGCUCAUGUAGCGCAGCUGAAUCUAAAUGGUAACAAGGACCAGGCUUUCUUCGGCGUUUUUGACGGCCAUCAAUCAGAUGAGGCGUCACGCUACUGUAGGGCACACAUGCUAGAUGAGUUGCUCAAGAAUAUUGCUAUAUACAAGGAUGACGUCGCGAAGGCGUUUGAGGUUUCUUUCCAAGAAGUGGACAAGCAAAUUUGCAAGAAGUUUGUGUCCAGCGGCACCACGGCAAACUGUGUUUAUUUGUCCAAUCAGCAAAUCGUUUGCGCAAACGCUGGUGAUAGCCGCGCCGUGCUAUAUCGCGGUGGCAAGGCUGUUCCCCUCAGUGUAGACCACAAGCCUUCGGUCCCUGACGAGGAGGCGAGAAUCGUUGCUGCUGGGUGCCAUGUAGAAAAUGGUCGGGUCAACAUGACGCUGGCUGUCAGUCGGGCCUUGGGCGAUGUCGACUUCAAAUCUUGCGCUGCGAAGAGUUGGGUGGAUCAGGCCGUCACUGCCUGUCCCGAUAUCACGGUAACACCGUCACGAAGUGACGAUGAGUUCAUAGUAAUCGGAUGCGAUGGCAUAUGGGAUGUGCUGUCCAAUGAAGAAUGCUGCGAACUUGUGAAAACAUUGAUUCAAAACAAUGACAUUGACAAGAACGGGCACCCUGUUGCCGUAGACAUUAGCCUUGUCUGUGAGCAGGUUCUUGAUCGCUGCCUCGCCCAAUCGAACUCGGUGAAGGCCGGUACCGACAACAUGACUAUCAUCGUGGUCGAAUUCAAGCCGCCAUUUUUCAAGUGCUAAAUCAUAUUGUUCUGCUUGGCUGAACACCUUUUUUAACUGUUCGUUGCCUUUGGUGUUUCGCUGUUGUGUCGUUCUGUGCGAAAUCGCUAAUUACGUUUCCCUGUUUUGAUUUCAUUGCUUGGCUUGAAGGCUUGAAGAUAUGAAGCUCUGUUGUUCGUCGACCACUUUAUAUAUACAUGUUUUCAUGCACCAGCUCAGCACAGCGAGUGCUCUCUAUAUACUGGCCCUAUGUUCUGUGAGUGUGGGCUUUCCCCCUUUCUUGUUCUCAUGUUAUAUCACCGGCUUUUUCCUCCAUGGGAGUACAAGUAGAGAGUUGAGUUGAUAGGAGGCAGCGCGCAUCACCAUUUUAUCACGACAAUGCGAUUUGAGACUUUUGCUUCACGUUGCAAGGGAUUUGAAGAAAGAGGUCUGUGUAUUCCGAUUCCCUUUGUCGUUGAUGUGCGAGGUUUCGUGUCGUCCGAAAUGCUCGCGAGCUGCCGGAGUUUGUAGUAAUCAAGCUGUUUUGCUUUACAUG
This 1498-nucleotide unclassified non-coding RNA is filed under the name Leishmania donovani. RNAcentral's name for it is "gene:LdHU3.36.0720(CDS-product:protein_phosphatas e_2C-like_protein)". The record is from RNAcentral. Lineage: Eukaryota; Euglenozoa; Kinetoplastea; Trypanosomatida; Trypanosomatidae.